This 502-nucleotide ribosomal RNA is filed under the name uncultured Sphingobacteriales bacterium. RNAcentral describes it as "bacterial SSU rRNA". It matches the Rfam family "Bacterial small subunit ribosomal RNA", at positions 903 to 1382 of the family's 1533-position model. The record is from RNAcentral. Lineage: Bacteria; Pseudomonadati; Bacteroidota; Sphingobacteriia; Sphingobacteriales.
GCCACGCCCGCUACAGAAACUUUAAAGGAAGUUGACGGGGGCCCGCACAAGCGGAGGAGCAUGUGGUUUAAUUCGAUGAUACGCGAGGAACCUUACCUGGGCUCGAACGUAAGAUGACUGUAGGUGAAAGCUUACAUCUCUUCGGAGCAUUUUACGAGGUGCUGCAUGGUUGUCGUCAGCUCGUGCCGUGAGGUGUCGGGUUAAGUCCCAUAACGAGCGCAACCCCUACCUUUAGUUGCCAUCAGGUUAAGCUGGGGACUCUAAAGGAACUGCCUACGCAAGUAGUGAGGAAGGCGGGGAUGACGUCAAAUCAGCACGGCCCUUACGUCCAGGGCUACACACGUGCUACAAUGGCCGAUACAGAGGGCAGCUACCUGGUGACAGGAUGCAAAUCUCCAAAGUCGGUCUCAGUUCGGAUCGGAGUCUGCAACCCGACUCCGUGAAGUUGGAUUCGCUGGUAAUCGUGAAUCAGAAUGUCACGGUGAAUACGUUCCCGGGCCUU